GCUAGCCCGAGCUAAUGGACAACAGUCACAGCAAAGAUUGAGACCUACGAUGGGUUUGUCUGUGAGAAGGCAUUGUUGUUACUCCUGACUUUAUUUUUACUUUUAUUUUUUGGACACUUUGUGUUAGAAUAUGUGUUGCACUUAUGGACACAAAUGUCGACCGCCUGGUUUUCUUAAUUUGGAGGAAGCAGUUGUUGACUUCCGAUUGCAACUUCCGUAGUUUUCCAGAGGUGACCCAGUCGUUGCAGGCUGAGGUUUUUUAGCAGCAGUUAAUUCCCCAGACAGCUGCAGCAGUCUUUGAGAGUAUGCUCCUGAGCAGCUUUUAUUGGCAAAACAUGCUAAAGGAAUAUUCAAGGUGGAAUUCCAGCGAGACAUCACAUCUACUUCAAAUGAAUCCAGACGAAGAAGGUGGCUGCCAACAAACCUUGGUUUUGUGCUAAGGCAGAAGGAAACCAUGCUGGACUCGAGAUCGAUGAGGAAAGUGAAAACUGGCCCUAGAAUUAUUGGUCUACCACAACCUGAGCCGUAGGACAUCUACACCACCAGGUGCAGAGGAAACGCACUAACCAUCAUGGAAGACUAAGUCCAUUCUUCUUUCCUAUUUAUCACUGGAAACCACUGAAGAUAUUUUACUUCCUAUCC
Molecule: long non-coding RNA, 642 nt
Organism: Gambusia affinis (western mosquitofish)
Lineage: Eukaryota; Metazoa; Chordata; Actinopteri; Cyprinodontiformes; Poeciliidae
Exons: 4
Source: RefSeq, a predicted model, not a curated record